Molecule: long non-coding RNA, 764 nt
Filed under: Piliocolobus tephrosceles (Ugandan red Colobus)
Lineage: Eukaryota; Metazoa; Chordata; Mammalia; Primates; Cercopithecidae
Description: lncRNA (ENSPTEG00000002971.1)
Source: RNAcentral
AGUAUUGCACAUAUUAAAUAUUUAUUAAUGUGCCUAUUUAUUUAUUUUUUUUUUUUUUAUAGCACAUAAGUUUUACUUCUGUUCACUAUAAAACAAAGAAUAUAAAAAAAUAUUCAAACUUAAUAUAUCUUAGGGAAUUACCCUUAAAAAGAGAAAGCGACUUUGAGAUAAUAAACAAAAAAUUAAAAGAUAUAGGAGUGUGCUCGAAAGACAUUAUAGAAACAUUUAUUAAGGGUACAGGAAAAGGAGGACAGAAAGUGAAUAAAACCAACAAUUGUGUUAUGAUAAAAUAUGAUGGUAGUAAUAAAAAUAAAAUAAUUAUAAAAUGUCAUAAAUAUAGGUGUUUAGAAAAAAAUAGAGUUUACGCGCGGGAGCUGUUAUACAAUAAACUUGUUUCAAUCAAUAACAAAGUUAUAGAGGAAUUAACUUAUCGAUUGGAGAAAGAAAAAAGAAAAAUUCUAAAGUUAAGUGAAAAAGAGAAACGAAAAUCAAUAAAUUACAAAAUUAGAAGAUCUGAAAUAAAAAAGGACAGACAAAAAUAUAUAGCAUAUGAUAAUUCUAUUGGUUAAUCUAAAUUCAUUUAUAAUAUUUGCGUUAGUUUCUUCUUCAUAUUAUUUUCCUAGUUCUAUAUACUGUUUGUUUCGCUACCUUUUUUAUUCUGUCACUUUUAAUAGUUUUAUAAAUAAGAAAAAUAUGAAAUAUUGCUUCCAUUCAUAAUUCGUUAUUCAAAUAAAUACAUAUACAAUAAUGUUAAAUGAUUAAUU